UUGUGGAACAGGAAGAACACUUUUUAAAAAUAUAUGACCCAGUAUGCAAUGGCUGCAAAGAACAGCAUCCUGAAAAGUUUAUGCAGCCAGCUGCUUACAUGGACUACCCUCAGGGAUCCUGGAGUCAGAC
This is a small nucleolar RNA of Jaculus jaculus (lesser Egyptian jerboa), 130 nucleotides long. Its record names the gene SNORA70. It matches the Rfam family "Small nucleolar RNA SNORA70". From Rfam's summary of the family: snoRNA U70 seems to be exclusive to mammals and is a member of the H/ACA class of snoRNA which contain H (ANANNA) and ACA box motifs. H/ACA box snoRNAs are involved in the conversion of uridines to pseudouridines (5-ribosyluracil) a constituent of structural RNAs (transfer, ribosomal, small nuclear, and small nucleolar). The record is from Ensembl. Lineage: Eukaryota; Metazoa; Chordata; Mammalia; Rodentia; Dipodidae.